This 463-nucleotide ribosomal RNA is filed under the name uncultured bacterium. RNAcentral's name for it is "SSU rRNA". It matches the Rfam family "Bacterial small subunit ribosomal RNA", at positions 26 to 518 of the family's 1533-position model. The record is from RNAcentral.
AGGAUUAACGCUGGCGGCGUGCCUGACACAUGCAAGUCGAACGAGGCCGCAAGGCCGAGUGGCGGACGGGUGAGUAACACGUGACCAACCAACCUCGAAGUUGGGAAUAGCUCUGCGAAAGUAGGGGUAAUACCGAAUGUGGCCCAGGGCGGGCAUCCGCCUUGGUCUAAAGAUUCAUCGCUUCGAGACGGGGUCGCGGCCUAUUAGCUUGUUGGUGAGGUAACGGCUCACCAAGGCGAUGAUGGGUAGCUGGUCUGAGAGGACGACCAGCCACACUGGGACUGAGACACGGCCCAGACUCCUACGGGAGGCAGCAGUGAGGAAUCUUCCGCAAUGGGCGAAAGCCUGACGGAGCAACGCCGCGUGUGGGAUGGAAGACUCUAGGGUUGUAAACCACUGUCGGAGGGACGAUCGUGACGGGUACCCUCAAGAAAGCCCCGGCUAACUACGCGCCAGCAGCCGC